CACGGGGCGGGACGGGCGCCGCCUCCGCCCCCGACAAGAUGGCGCGGCCGGCCCCGCUCCCUCAGGGCUCGGCCGCCAUGGCGGGGGGAGCGGCGGCGUGGCCCCUGAGGAUCCAGGAAAAAGCUGGAGGAAUUGGAGCCACGGGAUGUGCACGUCCUCCAUGAGCACGCAGCAGGAGGAGUUAGCAGUCAUCAAUCCUUUGGUGUGCUGACCUUUGAGAUCCAAAAGGAGACACGUUCCCUGUUUUCUCCAUCUUUUCUGGGUUACCUGAGCUCCUCAAAGCUCACUCAGGGACUCACCUGGCCAGAUGCAACCAGCAAUUGGGAAGAACCCAGCACUCCUGUAUAUGGAUCACAGGAAUAUCUUCCACUGAUUUACACAAAAUAGAAAUGAAACCCCUGCUACUUCAGCAGCAGCCUAGGAGGUAACCCAACAAUAACCACAAUCUCAUGGAAAGCUAAAAUAAACUAGAAAACACAGGAAAAACAAAUAUCUGCUGCUGAAACCAGCUCAUCUAUUUUUGGAAAAUUGCAAGGAUUGCCUCGCCCAGGAAGAGCUUCCCAACGAGCGGAAUUACGCCAAC
This is a non-coding RNA of Lonchura striata (white-rumped munia), 583 nucleotides long. The record is from RefSeq and is a predicted model, not a curated record. Lineage: Eukaryota; Metazoa; Chordata; Aves; Passeriformes; Estrildidae.